GGGACUUUGAUGCAGCUCACAUUGCCCUCAAGGCUGGUUUCAUCUGUACAGGUGACUGAGGCAGUCGACUUCAGGACUGAGCACCUGUGUUGUGAGGCAGUGACAGAGCAUGACUUCAGACACAGAAGAGAACUGCCUGGAGCUGGGGAGAGAGUAUUUAGUAAAGAAAGAGUUUGUUCCUGCCUCCCUUUCAGCCAUCUUAGCACCUUAAAGAGGAGGGCAGCAUACUUUAAGAGUUCAUGCUGUGUCUUUGCAGUCCACCACUGACGUAGGUGGAUGUGUGAGUAAGACUCAUUUUGUUGUUAAUUUAUCUUCUUGAUGCUCAAUAUCAGACUCCAUUUGCAUUGACUGAAUAGCUGUGGAGUCGUUAUGAAGGCUAUACAAACUGUGUUACUACCCUUGGAAGUACUUACUGAUGAAUUUUUGCCUCUUAAGCCUCCAAACAGGAUAUUACAUUAUUAUAUACAUUCUCUUCCCUGAUAUACUGUCUGAGUAUUGGCCAAACCAUCCGUGUACCACUGUGAGUCAUGCAGAGCACUAAUCUCAGUGGAGACAAAGUAAGUAUACAUAAGACUGUAAAUGAUUUUCAUUGCUAUGCCCCCUUUUUUUUUUAACAUGGAGCUCUCACUCUUGAUGAAAUACUAUUAAGUGCAAUGUAGCAACCUGAUUGCUAGAUGCUAUUAAAUCAUCAGAUCAUGGCUGGUGUCCUUACUCGCCUGUCUUUUCUGCGUGGGGUUAGAGGUUUGCCUAUUGGAGACUUGUGGACAUUGGAAUUCUUUUAAAUAAGAUUGGUUUCCAACGGACACAUGUGGCUCUCGGGAACAUGGAUGUCAGGCCAUCUGUGUGAUAGGCAGAACUACAGAAUGAGCAUCAUAGAUGUUCAUCCUUGAAGUUGAAUUUUCAGAGCUGGAGGAAUAGUUUGAAACUGAAGUGUGGUCUUCCAGCCUGGUUAGGAGAAUUACAGAGUCUAAACCAUGCCUUACAUGUGUCGUUUGCUUUGGAAAAUAAAAACCUGCUUUUGAAAGUAUAAGAAUAUUCAGAAAUGAGGAGUGUGUUAGAUGCCAGUCUGUGAGGGCUUCCUCUUAGUUACCAUGUUUAUUAGCCUGAGCCUGGUGCAAGGCACAGCAGCCAUUUGGAUAAGACACACACAAGCCAGCUGUUAGCACGGGGUGUGUUGGGGUAGUGAGCAGCAGAUUUCCCUCUUACUUAGGUCAUGUUCUUGUCUUUUGCUUGUCCAUGUUUGUAUUGGAGUAGUGCUCAGAGGCCCCGGAACUGAAGAAAAUAACUGCACUGCAGACAUUUAUGAAGAAGUUGUUACGACUGCUAAUGCUUCUUCCUGCUCCACUCUUACAAACUCUGCCAUAGUGCAGCAAAGAACUGAAUGGUUUCCAAAAAAAGUGUGUGAGGAAAUGCAACUUUUUAACCUCACAAGGAAGUGGCUGGGAGGAAUGGAGAGAGGAAAAGAGAGGAGGCUGGGAUUUCUAAGAAUACAUCAGUACUUUAAGGAGUUGUUGAAUACAGAAUCUCACAUAUAUCUUGCUCAUCCUGCUGCCACUGCCGUUUCUGAAGUGGCUGAUGCUGCAGAUUACUCAGUAUGUGCUUGCUGCAUCCAUCUCCUCAGAUGAAGGAGUAUUUGGACAGGCUUGUGUGGAGCUACUCAGUUUUUCCCAGGAUGAAGAAAUCUUUUUAAUACGCCAGAGCAUGGAAUAGAUAUAUAGGAUUCUGGAUAGGCCACCUGUGAAGUCAGACACAUUCAGAGGAAGACAGUACAUAGGUUUUCCCGUGCACAGUCUGGUCAUCCUAAAUCCACUGAAGCCCUCACUUAGGCAUAUAUUCCGCUUCUGUCCUUGCUCUUAGACAUGCCCAACUGAUGGUCCUGUACGGCCUCUGGAUCUGUCUGUGUGUGGAGACUGAUCUAGCAAACCUCAGGAUGUACUGGCUUCUGCCAAGGAGAUAAUCCAGUUUCCAACUUCGAACUUGCCCAGAUUGACACACUGUGAUGUGUAGCCAGGAAAGAAGAUACAGACUUCCACCGCAAGUGUGUUAAUUUUCAGCACAUAGAAACUUUUCAUAAAAACUUGGAAACUGCUUUGAAUCUGAGAUGGCAACCUGAAACCAGAAUGUUUCAUAUUAUAAUCAAACCAUAAACCUCCUAAACUUCCACACUGAUUCUACAGUAUAACACUAAGCUUUCAUUUCAAAUCCUCCUGGAAGACCAGUAUAACUUCCUGCGUUGUUUUAGAGAAAAUAUAUUGCAUGAUCUGACUAGUUUUUGCCACUCCUAUAAAGGAGUAACGCAAUCUGUAAGGCUUUCCUUUAUUACCAUUUUCUUUUUCAGCUGAAGUGUUUUAAGAGGACGAAACUGGGACAGCCAAGGCCUGUAAACCAUUUACUGUCCAAUUUUAAAGGCUCAAGAAGAAUUUAAAUGAUGCGUAGGUUUUGUGCUGGCUGUGUCCACUUGUGACAAUUUUAUCCCUGUGAAUUCUCGUUCAAACCCCUCUGUUGCCAUGGCUUUGUGAAGGCUAUCUUUGCAGUGCCACCUUUAG
Molecule: long non-coding RNA, 2546 nt
Organism: Empidonax traillii (willow flycatcher)
Lineage: Eukaryota; Metazoa; Chordata; Aves; Passeriformes; Tyrannidae
Exons: 3
Source: RefSeq, a predicted model, not a curated record